CCAGUCAGUCUGUUAACUUGAUGCUUGCUUCUAGUUCCGUGUGAGUAGGAAGGAGAGCCAUGGACCAGCUGUUCACAGUCAUUCAUGGGUCCCAGGAGGAAGGAGAUACAGUCCGGGGUGUGCUCUUGAUCUUUCAAGGAAGAGUUUCGAAAGAGAUGAGAUGGCUUGGAAAUCUUUUUCCUCAGCUUACGAAACGUUAAGAUGAAAAGAAGAAGCUAAAGUGGAUUAUCCCUGGGACUUGAAAACUGCAAACCUGGACAGCUUCACAGCAUCACCUGAACCCACUCAGGAUGACAGAAGAUGAGAAUUGUCAAAACAAGAAGCAAGUACUACUAUAGAGGCUUAUGGGGUUGGUGGGGCUGUGGAUUCAGAACGUGUUGAUUUCUCAGAUAUGAAUCUGGGUUAUAAGUGAUAGUGCAUAUAUACUCAAGUGGAUUUUGUAGACAAAGCAACAGCAGGGCUAAGGACAGGCCUAAUGGGCCUUCCCACCAAGCAUCUGAAUUAGAACAGACCUCUGCUCGGCAGUAUGUUAUUAUUCUCAGGCAGACUCCUCCAAACUGUGGCUACAUGCUGUGUUCCGGCAGGACAUUGGCUGAGAAGGGCUGAGGAUGUGCCAUGCUGGAUGUUUCCAAAGGUUAAUAUACUCUCAGCCUAAACACGGAAGACAAGCAGAGGAGAGAAACACAGAAGAAGAUGGAGCGACUCCCUUUG
Molecule: long non-coding RNA, 711 nt
Organism: Meriones unguiculatus (Mongolian gerbil)
Lineage: Eukaryota; Metazoa; Chordata; Mammalia; Rodentia; Muridae
Exons: 4
Source: RefSeq, a predicted model, not a curated record